GGGCACCAAAAAAUGAGCGCAGAGCCACGCAAAACUAUCCUCCCGUCUCUCAAGCUCCUUCGGGCAACCCUCCUGAAGAGCAACUUGCGAAUCAUCAAACGCCUCAAAAUAAUGGUGCAAGUCGCUCUUCCACUGUUUGUACCUCUCAGAGAAGAGUCUGUUGACGUACGCCAACGACACAUUGUCGACGUCCUCCAAGUUGUAGUUCGUCUGCAAUAAAUUAAUUACAUACAUUAAAUAAUAGAAAUAUAAAGUUUGAAAGAAAAAGAAUUAAAAGGCCUACAUACCGACAACUAGCCACGAAUCUCCAUCUUGAUCUCGUCAGGCAUGACAUUCCAAGACUUCCAUUUCAUCGGGCAAUGGCUCUGAACGACAUGACCAAUGUCGUGGGCCAAGGAGCUAUACAACUCCGCCGUCGGUGCAGCCCAAUGUCGCUCAUCGUAUCUGAUGUUGAUACGACUGUUGGUCACCCGGGUGACCUUCGCUGUCUUUAACUGCAGACACGGCCAUCGGGUGUUCUUCUUGGCUGCAAAGAAAGAUGACAUUAACGUUAAAUAAAUAACAAAUUUAACUAUAAAAUACACACACAAAAACAAAAACAAAAAAUAAAUAAAUAAAUAAAUAAAAAGAACUGAAGUUGAAGGAAAUCUAUACCUGGCUGUGACCCCGACGCAUCAGUCGAUGUGGUGUCGGUGGUGCUGGCAGGCCGGUGGUGUCGGUGGCACUAACAGGCGUCUGGGACCCGCGGGACCAACUGCCAAGUGGUCCAUCAGUACUAGCGCAGUGGCAGCAGAUGUCGGCUGAGCCGGGGGCCCUGAACUUUGUGUAGUCGUCACUCCCCUACGACGUCUAAUAAAGUCUGACAUCUGCACAAUUUCAUUAAUAUAGAUACAAAUUAAUAAAAUAUACGAAUAUUUGUAAGUACAUACAAUUUUAUUAAGAUUCUUGACAUAGGGUUUGCGAGUUUGGAGUAUCCGGGACUUCUAUCCACGAUCCGUUUAAUCCUACACGAUCCUAGAAAUACAAGGUACAACAUACGUGAGUUUGAGUUCGAUCCAACAGUCCGAACAAACCCGGAAAUUGCACAAUAUGCAAAAUCCGUUCGAGACUCAAACGGUAACCAAAUUCCAAUCCGAAAAGACCUACGCGUUAGUGACAACUAGGGAAUUGCACUGGGACCCAAUGCACGACUGCUACAGUAGCCCACGCACCACCACACGCCCCGGCAGCGCGUGGGUGUCCAAAGCGAUACCAAUCGCUGGAAAAUUCUAAAAACUAAGGGCCAAGGUUCCUACCCUAGGUUGAAAACAUCAAUUGGAGCCACUAUUGUUCUCGGACCUACCUCGAAAAAUGGCCGGAAGUGGCCAGAAUUUAAAUUCAAAAACCGGCCGAAACUUAGGGUUUAAAAUCGAUUGCCCUAUUGCGACAAUUAAUUAAAUCCUACCAAACCAUCAGCUAAAGCAUCAAAAAUAGUCAAGAAACCACACCUCAGCUGUCGAAUUUGGUCGCCGGAGGAGAGAGAACUAGGCCGGCGAAGAUUCGGUGAAAACUGAGCAAAUUCCGAUGGCAGGCUCGACGGUGAUGGCGGGGAAGCUCUGGG
This 1600-nucleotide long non-coding RNA is filed under the name Prunus persica (peach). RNAcentral's name for it is "long non-coding RNA (PPER_LNC008320)". Lineage: Eukaryota; Viridiplantae; Streptophyta; Magnoliopsida; Rosales; Rosaceae. The record is from RNAcentral.